UACGGAGGGGGCAAGCGUUAAUCGGAAUUACUGGGCGUAAAGCGCACGCAGGCGGUCAAUUAAGUCGGAUGUGAAAGCCCCGAGCUUAACUUGGGAAUUGCAUCUGAAACUGUUGGGCUAGAGUACUGUAGAGGGGGGUAGAAUUCCCUGUGUAGAGGUGAAAUGCGUAGAGAUGUGGAGGAAUACCGGUGGCGAAGGCGGCCCCCUGGACAAAGACUGACGCUCAGGUGCGAAAGCGUGGGGAGCAAACAGG
This 253-nucleotide ribosomal RNA is filed under the name uncultured bacterium. RNAcentral describes it as "partial 16S ribosomal RNA". It matches the Rfam family "Bacterial small subunit ribosomal RNA", at positions 524 to 776 of the family's 1533-position model. The record is from RNAcentral.